Long non-coding RNA from Oncorhynchus keta (chum salmon), 1335 nucleotides. RefSeq lists it as uncharacterized. The transcript is spliced from 3 exons. Lineage: Eukaryota; Metazoa; Chordata; Actinopteri; Salmoniformes; Salmonidae. The record is from RefSeq and is a predicted model, not a curated record.
GGGACGGAGAGAGAGAGGCGAGGGACGGAGAGAGAGAGAGAGAGGCGAGGGGCACAGUAUAGGCAGGUCUUUAAAACACGUUUUGUAGCAGGUAAGGAAAGCAUUUUAGCUAACCUUAACCCUUUUCCUAACCUAAGUCUCCUACCUUCCACAUAAAUUAUCCUAACCUGCUACGAAAAGGUAACUUCCGGUCGCAGCUGUACUACGUCUGGCCAGAACUGUGGUAGAACCAGGGCACCAAAACAGUAGAGCAGUUGAGCCUCGUGCUUCAACGCUCUUUGUUGUGGAAAUUGACCCACUAAGCAGUUAACUUUCUGCAUCGACCAAAAAAAACACGUUUUUCUUUUUGGUUAGGGAUUUUUUUUCUUAACGUUUAAGGAUCCCAAUUUCGUUUAAACAUUUACAUCCCUAUCUCCUAUCAAGAGUGAAAUAGCCAAACCUCCAAGCCCAAUAACCCAUAGCAGAUGUGCUGACAAUACUUAGACAGGUCAGACUAAACAGACAAGAAUGCAUCCCAACUGGCACCCUAUUCCCUUUAUAGUGCACUACUUUUGAUUAGGGCCCAUAGGGCUCUGGUUAAAGUAGUGCACUACUUUUGAUUAGGGCCCAUAGGGCUCUGGUUAAAGUAGUGCACUAUAUAGGGGGAAAGGGUGCCAUUUGGGACGGAGGUAAAUCUGACAGACCUGCAUUUGAUUAAACCCUCAACAGAACAAUUUAAAAGCCCUACUGUGAAACAGUGUCUUUCAAAUCCUGGCAAAGACUGCAUGCCCUAGACUCCAAAGAACAUUUCAGUAUUCACAAGAAGGUAUCUGGGCUCCAUCUCCAAGGUCAGACUAGACUACAUUCAGAAGGUAUCUGGGCUCCAUCUCCAAGGUCAGACUAGAAUACAUUCAGAAGGUAUCUGGGCUCCAUCUCCGAGGUCAGACUAGAAUACAUUCAGAAGGUAUCUGGGCUCCAUCUCCGAGGUCAGACUAGAAUACAUUCAGAAGGUAUCUGGGCUCCAUCUCCGAGGUCAGACUAGAAUACAUUCAGAAGGUAUCUGGGCUCCAUCUCCGAGGUCAGACUAGAAUACAUUCAGAAGGUAUCUGGGCUCCAUCUCCGAGGUCAGACUAGAAUACAUUCAGAAGGUAUCUGGGCUCCAUCUCCGAGGUCAGAUUAGAAUACAUUCAGAAGGUAUCUGGGCUCCAUCUCCGAGGUCAGACUAGAAUACAUUCAGAAGGUAUCUGGGCUCCAUCUCCGAGGUCAGACUAGACUACAUUCAGUUGGAAUCAAACCAAUUCAAAAAGGCAAAAUACAAUCUCUGUUCUAGCAAAUAAUCACUCAUACGUAGAUAGU